GUGGGGAAUAUUGGGCAAUGGGGGCAACCCUGACCCAGCGACGCCGCGUGAGGGAAGACGGCCUUCGGGUUGUAAACCUCUUUUGUACGGGAAGAAGGAAGUGACGGUACUGUACGAAUAAGUCCCGGCUAACUACGUGCCAGCAGCCGCGGUAAUACGUAGGGGACGAGCGUUGUCCGGAAUUACUGGGCGUAAAGGGCGCGCAGGCUGUGCUGCAAGUCAGCUGUGAAAUGUCUGGGCUUAACCCGGGCAUGCGGUUGAGACUGCAGUGCUGGAGUGCUGUAGAGGCAAGUGGAAUUCCCAGUGUAGCGGUGAAAUGCGUAGAGAUUGGGAAGAACACCGGUGGCGAAGGCGACUUGCUGGGCAGCAACUGACGCUGAGGCGCGAAAGCCAGGGGAACAAACGGGAUUAGAAACCCGAGUAGUCC
This 427-nucleotide ribosomal RNA is filed under the name uncultured bacterium. RNAcentral describes it as "partial 16S ribosomal RNA". It matches the Rfam family "Bacterial small subunit ribosomal RNA", at positions 354 to 796 of the family's 1533-position model. The record is from RNAcentral.